RNAcentral lists this non-coding RNA (32 nucleotides) under Schistosoma curassoni. The record is from RNAcentral. Lineage: Eukaryota; Metazoa; Platyhelminthes; Trematoda; Strigeidida; Schistosomatidae.
UGACGAGUCCCAAAUAGGACGAAACCCGCGUC